UUUCUCCUUCUUUAACUAUUAAUUCUUAUUCAAACCUUGUGUGUAGCUCUACCUUUAAGCCCUCGACUUACCGCGUCAAGAUUCACCUUAUUCUAGCCAAUAGAUCUUAGAUAUUACAAAAAUCCUAAACAACCCCAAUAUGCCAACUUCUGACACCUCUUUACACUAAUGAUCAUAUAUCCUCUCUCCGUACCGUUAGAUUAACACAAUUUUGUUGCAUACACUUGGCAUACUCAACCAUCUAGACAUCUCUAAAAUUUCAACCAUUGAUGUCUCUUCAAUUUUGUAAAACAGUCAAGAGUACUAGCCUUUACUUUAUUGUAAAAAUCCAAUUCACCAAUACAAACACUAACUUUGAGCAAUGAUUGCAAAGUCCUCCCAAAUCCUAUAAAACCCA
Molecule: long non-coding RNA, 397 nt
Filed under: Physcomitrium patens
Lineage: Eukaryota; Viridiplantae; Streptophyta; Bryopsida; Funariales; Funariaceae
Description: long non-coding RNA (PPAT_LNC000084)
Source: RNAcentral